This is a long non-coding RNA of Bactrocera neohumeralis, 493 nucleotides long. RefSeq lists it as uncharacterized. The transcript is spliced from 2 exons. The record is from RefSeq and is a predicted model, not a curated record. Lineage: Eukaryota; Metazoa; Arthropoda; Insecta; Diptera; Tephritidae.
AGUAGUUCACAGCGCCAUCUGGCUUAAUUUCGUGCCAACUCCAACUCUGUUAGACAUAUACUAAUAUUUCAGAUUCAACUUAGUUCGAUUAGCAUAAGCACGAAGAAACAAAAGCGACGCCAACUGCGCUGUCAGCGUUAGCGCCAACGUCGGCGUCAGCGUACUUAAUCAAAGCAAUAAACCGAGAAGUGACUCAAACACAGCGAGCUAUUUUAGAGUUUUGCGCUCAAAAGCAUUUAAAAACUUGGUGAAGCCCACAACAAAACACAAAUCACCUGCAGCAAGUGAUUUGCAUAGCCGCAGGAACAAAGUGAAAGUGUUGCUGUGAGAAAUGCAAAAGAAAACGUGAGAAAGCGAAAUAAAAACAAUGAACAGUGGAAAAUAACUGUAGGGUAAAAAAAAACAAAGUAACUGUGCAAAGUUAGCGGAAAUAAAAAGUGAAAGAAAAGUAAAAAAAAAACAAACAGCAGCAACAGAGCAGCAGAGAAGUUAA